GGAUCAUUACAAGAACGCCCGGGCUUCGGCCUGGUUAUUCAUAACCCUUUGUUGUUCGACUCUGUUGCCUCCGGGGCGACCCUGCCUUCRGGCGGGGGCUCCGGGUGGACACUUCAAACUCUUGCGUAACUUUGCAGUCUGAGUAAACUUAAUUAAUAAAUUAAAACUUUUAACAACGGAUCUCUUGGUUCUGGCAUCGAUGAAGAACGCAGCGAAAUGCGAUAAGUAAUGUGAAUUGCAGAAUUCAGUGAAUCAUCGAAUCUUUGAACGCACAUUGCGCCCCCUGGUAUUCCGGGGGGCAUGCCUGUUCGAGCGUCAUUUCACCACUCAAGCCUCGCUUGGUAUUGGGCAACGCGGUCCGCCGCGUGCCUCAAAUCGUUCGGCUGGGUCUUCUGUCSCCUAAGCGUUGUGGAAACUAUUCGCUAAABGGUGUCCGGGAGGCUACGCCRUAAAACAACCCCAUUUMUAAGGUUGACCUCGGAUCAGGUAGGGAUACCCGCUGAACUUAAGCAUAUCAAUAAGCGGAGGAAAWGAAACCAACAGGGAUUGCUCUAGUAACGGCGAGUGAAGCAGUAAUAGCUCAAAUUUGAAAUCUGGCGUCUUCGACGUCCGAGUUGUAAYUUGUA
RNAcentral lists this ribosomal RNA (626 nucleotides) under uncultured fungus. RNAcentral's name for it is "eukaryotic LSU rRNA". The stretch from base 165 to 318 matches the Rfam family "5.8S ribosomal RNA". Lineage: Eukaryota; Fungi. The record is from RNAcentral.